Molecule: signal recognition particle RNA, 270 nt
Filed under: Chloroflexota bacterium
Lineage: Bacteria; Bacillati; Chloroflexota
Description: Chloroflexi bacterium signal recognition particle sRNA large type
Rfam family: Bacterial large signal recognition particle RNA
About the family: The signal recognition particle (SRP) is a universally conserved ribonucleoprotein involved in the co-translational targeting of proteins to membranes. Archaeal SRP consists of a 7S RNA and homologues of the eukaryotic SRP19 and SRP54 proteins.
Source: RNAcentral
UCGCGACAUUCAAGUGGGGUGCUGGCGGUACCCUGAACCGGCAAUCCGCCUUAGCCGGACCGAAUUCCAUCGCUGAGGUCUGGGUUCUCAGAACUGGCCGCGGCAAACGGCGUUGAAGGUCGGGACCUGCGCAGCUCGGGUCUCCGAACCCCGUCAGGUCCGGAAGGAAGCAGCGGUAAGGAGAGUUCCCGGGGGUGCCGCAGCCACCCUGCCCGGAGCCGCGAACCGCGGUGCGAGCUGGGGGUCUUCGAUCGAUGCGGGGGUGCGCGA